Molecule: ribosomal RNA, 121 nt
Organism: Crocodylus porosus (Australian saltwater crocodile)
Lineage: Eukaryota; Metazoa; Chordata; Crocodylia; Crocodylidae
Source: Ensembl
UGGUGUGGCCAUACCAAACUGAAUACCCCUGACCACCUCUGCUCAAGAAAGCAAAGCAGUCUUGGGCCAGGUCAUAGUACUUGUAUCAGCGAUCACUUGGAAAUCCCAGGUGUUGCACAUC